Molecule: ribosomal RNA, 182 nt
Filed under: uncultured Microbacterium sp.
Lineage: Bacteria; Bacillati; Actinomycetota; Actinomycetes; Micrococcales; Microbacteriaceae
Description: partial 16S ribosomal RNA
Rfam family: Bacterial small subunit ribosomal RNA
Source: RNAcentral
UGAUGACGGCCUUCGGGUUGUAAACCACUUUCGGCAGAGAAGAAGAGGUAUUCCCUAUUACUGCAUACUGCUGACGGUAUCUGCAGAAUAAGCACCGGCUAACUACGUGCCAGCAGCCGCGGUAAUACGUAGGGUGCGAGCGUUAUUCGGAAUUAUUGGGCGUAAAGAGUGUGUAGGCGGUU